RNAcentral lists this ribosomal RNA (695 nucleotides) under uncultured soil bacterium. Its description in RNAcentral is "bacterial SSU rRNA". It matches the Rfam family "Bacterial small subunit ribosomal RNA", at positions 50 to 738 of the family's 1533-position model. The record is from RNAcentral.
UACACAUGCAAGUCGAGCGGCAGCGCGGGGGCAACCUUGGCGGCGAGCGGCGAACGGGUGAGUAAUACAUCGGAACGUGUCCUUGAGUGGGGGAUAGCUCGGCGAAAGCCGGAUUAAUACCGCAUAAGCUCUGAGGAGGAAAGCGGGGGACUGGUAACGGCCUCGCGCUGUUGGAGCGGCCGAUGUCGGAUUAGCUAGUUGGUGGGGUAAAGGCCCACCAAGGCGACGAUCCGUAGCUGGUCUGAGAGGAUGAUCAGCCACACUGGAACUGAGACACGGUCCAGACUCCUACGGGAGGCAGCAGUGGGGAAUUUUGGACAAUGGGGGCAACCCUGAUCCAGCCAUUCCGCGUGAGUGAAGAAGGCCUUCGGGUUGUAAAGCUCUUUCGGACGGAACGAAAUGGUUACGGCUAACACCUGUGACUGAUGACGGUACCGUAAGAAGAAGCACCGGCUAACUACGUGCCAGCAGCCGCGGUAAUACGUAGGGUGCGAGCGUUAAUCGGAAUUACUGGGCGUAAAGCGUGCGCAGGCGGCGGCUCAAGUCAGGUGUGAAAUCCCCGGGCUUAACCUGGGAAUUGCGCUUGAAACUAGGUUGCUAGAGUGCGGCAGAGGGGGGUGGAAUUCCACGUGUAGCAGUGAAAUGCGUAGAGAUGUGGAGGAACACCGAUGGCGAAGGCAGCCCCCUGGGCUAGC